Molecule: transfer RNA, 76 nt
Filed under: Melanothamnus gigas
Lineage: Eukaryota; Rhodophyta; Florideophyceae; Ceramiales; Rhodomelaceae
Description: tRNA-Arg
Rfam family: tRNA
About the family: Transfer RNA (tRNA) molecules are approximately 80 nucleotides in length. Their secondary structure includes four short double-helical elements and three loops (D, anti-codon, and T loops).
Source: RNAcentral
UGCGUUUUUAGUUUAAAUUGGAUAAAACAUCAAUCUUCUAAAUUGAAUAUGUAGGUUCGAGUCCAACAAAAUGCGA